Molecule: ribosomal RNA, 480 nt
Filed under: uncultured Owenweeksia sp.
Lineage: Bacteria; Pseudomonadati; Bacteroidota; Flavobacteriia; Flavobacteriales; Owenweeksiaceae
Description: bacterial SSU rRNA
Rfam family: Bacterial small subunit ribosomal RNA
Source: RNAcentral
GAUGAACGCUAGCGGCAGGCCUAACACAUGCAAGUCGAACGGUAACAGAUCCUUCGGGAUGCUGACGAGUGGCGCACGGGUGAGUAACGCGUAUGCAAUCUGCCUCUAUCUGGAAGAUAGCCCGGAGAAAUCCGGAUUAAUACUCCAUAAUAUCAUUGAUUCGCAUGUUUUAAUGAUUAAAGCUCCGGCGGAUAGAGAUGAGCAUGCGUCCUAUUAGUUUGUUGGUGAGGUAACGGCUCACCAAGACUUCGAUAGGUAGGGGGCCUGAGAGGGUGAUCCCCCACACUGGUACUGAGACACGGACCAGACUCCUACGGGAGGCAGCAGUGAGGAAUAUUGGACAAUGGGCGAAAGCCUGAUCCAGCCAUGCCGCGUGCAGGAUGACGGCCCUACGGGUUGUAAACUGCUUUUAUACAGGAAUAAACCCUCGGACGUGUCCGAGGCUGAAUGUACUGUAAGAAUAAGGAUCGGCUAACUCCG